CCUACGGGAGGCAGCAGUGGGGAAUUUUGGACAAUGGGCGCAAGCCUGAUCCAGCCAUGCCGCGUGAGUGAAGAAGGCCUUCGGGUUGUAAAGCUCUUUCGGCAGGAACGAAAUGGUUCGUGCUAAUACCACGGACUGAUGACGGUACCUGAAGAAGAAGCACCGGCUAACUACGUGCCAGCAGCCGCGGUAAUACGUAGGGUGCAGGCGUUAAUCGGAAUUACUGGGCGUAAAGCGUGCGCAGGCGGUUUCUCAAGUCAGAUGUGAAAGCCCCGGGCUUAACCUGGGAACUGCGUUUGAAACUGGGAGACUUGAGUGUGGCAGAGGGGGGUGGAAUUCCACGUGUAGCAGUGAAAUGCGUAGAUAUGUGGAGGAACACCGAUGGCGAAGGCAGCCCCCUGGGCUAACACUGACGCUCAUGCACGAAAGCGUGGGGAGCAAACAGGAUUAGAUACCCUGGUAGUCCACGCCCUAAACUAUGUCAACUGGUUGUCGGGAGAUUAACUCUCUUGGUAACGAAGCUAACGCGUGAAGUUGACCGCCUGGGGAGUCGGCCGCAAGGUUAAACCNCGAAGAUGACGNNGAGAGNGCGAGACGACGACGAGGAGAGG
This 611-nucleotide ribosomal RNA is filed under the name uncultured bacterium. RNAcentral's name for it is "bacterial SSU rRNA". It matches the Rfam family "Bacterial small subunit ribosomal RNA", at positions 338 to 942 of the family's 1533-position model. The record is from RNAcentral.